Molecule: ribosomal RNA, 450 nt
Filed under: uncultured bacterium
Lineage: Bacteria
Description: bacterial SSU rRNA
Rfam family: Bacterial small subunit ribosomal RNA
Source: RNAcentral
CCCAGACUCCUACGGGAGGCAGCAGUGGGGGAUAUUGGACAAUGGGGGGAACCCUGAUCCAGCGACGCCGCGUGAGUGAAGAAGUAUCUCGGUAUGUAAAGCUCUAUCAGCAGGGAAGAAAGAAAUGACGGUACCUGAGUAAGAAGCCCCGGCUAACUACGUGCCAGCAGCCGCGGUCAUACGUAGGAUCCGAGCAUUAUCCGGAGUGACUGGGUGUAAAGAGUUGCGUAGGUGGCAUAAUAAGUAGCUAGUGAAAUCUGGUGGCUCAACCAUUCAGACUAUUAGCUAAACUGUUAAGCUCGAGACCGUUAGGGGUAACUGGAAUUUCUAGUGUAGGAGUGAAAUCCGUAGAUAUUAGAAGGAACACCGAUAGCGUAGGCAGGUUACUGGGACGGUUCUGACACUAAGGCACGAAAGCGUAGGGAGCAAACGGGAUUAGAUACCCCGGUA